Molecule: non-coding RNA, 148 nt
Filed under: Chlorocebus sabaeus (green monkey)
Lineage: Eukaryota; Metazoa; Chordata; Mammalia; Primates; Cercopithecidae
Source: Rfam by way of RNAcentral
GCCAGGUGUGGUGGUGGGCGCCUGUAAUCCCAGCUACUUGGGAAGCUGAGGUAGGAGAAUCACUUGAGCCCAGGAGGCAGGGGUUGCAGUGAGCUGAGAUUGUGCCACUGCACUCCAGCCUGGGCAACAGAGUGAAAAUCCAUCUCAA